RNAcentral lists this long non-coding RNA (302 nucleotides) under Phaseolus vulgaris (common bean). RNAcentral describes it as "long non-coding RNA (PVUL_LNC000183)". Lineage: Eukaryota; Viridiplantae; Streptophyta; Magnoliopsida; Fabales; Fabaceae. The record is from RNAcentral.
UUUCUUUCAAUUAAAUUUGUUUCUUGCUUUUGUUUCUUGACCUCUCUUUUGUGGGUGCUGGAAAUUAAUUCUCUCUUGGUGCUUAUGUGCAUGGAAUUUGACUUGGUUUAAGGUUAAGCUCUUGUGAAUAGGUGCUGGAAAUUGGAGAAUUAAAGCCAACUUUCUAAGGAGGAGUCAAAGCUAAGGCGAAACAAGCAUCUUGAAAACAAACACUACAAACACCUAGAAGAUCAACAAUCAAGACAACAAAGAAAGUGCACUAACCAAAAAGAGGAACAACAAAGGGGGUUUUCUUAUCUCCU